This 2563-nucleotide long non-coding RNA is filed under the name Triticum aestivum (bread wheat). RNAcentral's name for it is "long non-coding RNA (TAES_LNC025734)". Lineage: Eukaryota; Viridiplantae; Streptophyta; Magnoliopsida; Poales; Poaceae. The record is from RNAcentral.
GUGGAAUAAAUGGAAAAAACUUCCAUUUUCUACACUGGCGUAAGAGGGUAAAAUCAUAGAAAUCCAAAUCACCAAGGAGUAAUUCUCACAACAAAUCACACCCUCAACAAGAAUACUUGCCACAAACAAUACAUCAAACAAAAUCAUAACAGACACUGUUGUGUGUGACGAACGAUAAUACACUCAACAGACGCAUGUAUGGAAACUGCACAAAAAAAUGAUGCCGAUGAAAGGAAAUCAACAAAAUAUCCAAACUUACCCAGGACAUUGUCAAAAGUAAAAAAAGUUCUUUAGAACCUGCAAAAAUAUUACAACCCUACCAAGCAGACAUGUCGAUAUCACUCAUACAUAUAAACAGUCCACAGAUAAACAAGCAAAUUUUCACCAUACAUGACCAUAAGUAACUUGGUAUCACAAGACAAUACACAAGAAUGUAACAAUGAUAAUUCAGGUAUUUAAAUAGACAGACUGCAAAGCAGUCAUAAGAAGUACAUGUCUAGUGAAAGAGUUCACAUAAAACACUAAUCUAGCUUGAUUUAUCUCUUAACAACGAAAACUCAGAGCAAAACUGAUUUCCAGAUCAGAGGUAGCCAGAAUAUGCAAGACAUCCAUGUAUGCAGACAACACUUCUGAAUUCAGCACAACCAUUCAAAGCACAUGCUCCCAAGAGUUGUCAACAACCUGAGUCACACAUUCACUAGAAUUCAAUAAAUAGUUCAGCUGAGCAGAAAUAUACAGACAAAAUACAGGUAAUAUGACACUAAAAACAAGGGUUAGAAAUACAAUGCUUAUAGUUCAUCAAGUUCCAAAUACCACACCUAAUACUUACUUAUAUAGAUGAUACAAUGCAGGAAUAAAAAAGUAUAAUCAGUUAAAACUACAUUUGGCAAACUUUAGAGUAAAUACUGCAAAAUUAAUCAGAACAGAGCAAAAUGAUGCAAAAACAAAAUCAACAAGAGCAUAAAAAGAAUAUUGACGAACAGCAAACCUAGUGUUCAUGUUCAAGUGACAAAAAAACUAAAUAUGGUACAACCAAGAUAAAAUAGUAAUCUUGAAGAGUAAUAUUUCUACUAACUAUAAGAUAACACUUUAUGUUAUAUUACGCUUUCAAUGAUACAUAACCAGUCAAUUUAUCGCAGGAUGUGUAUAGUUAUGUUUUGAAUUCACCAAUGAACUGAAAGAGUGGCCAAUAAAAAUGAAAAUAAAGCUAUUCAAAUACAAGAUGAGAUCCAUUCUAUGCAUAAGCACAUGAUGUGCAACCGCAAACUAAUGGCAGAAACAUUAGAAGCAGAGAUUUCCCAUGGGUGUAUUAUGUAGUCCAGAUGUAUAUACAAUACAACAUACUAGGACAGAAGCAUUAGACAAACAUGGCAUAACCAAAACUUCAACAUUGGAGAAAUCUAACUAAUCAAACAUAAGGAAGCAUUAUAUAACCGCAAUCCAUGAAUCAAAAUCUGGAACAGGAAACUACAGAUUGUAUGUUUUUGUGAUGUGGAACGUGGAAAUGUCUAGUUUCAGGUUCUACGAAAUGUGCUAAUGUUCUGGCAUUAUGAACUAAAUAAGAAACCCAAGGGUGUCGGAUCUGAGGAAGAAACUGAAUUAGCAACCCAAUAAAUGUAAAACCUCAUCACAUCAAUCAACAUAUUUCAGACAUUAACAAACAUCUAAAAUGGUCAAGCAUAUCAGCAUGGGCCCAUUACAAUACUCUGUACAUGACAGAAAUUGCUCAGAUUGUUUGCCAACUGCUGUCACUCCACAACAGAAACACUAUAAUCAACUACAAACCAGCAUAGUUAGAUCAGGGCAACAACACACAGACACAUAUGAUCUGUUAGCAUAACCAAAAUCAACAACAGCAAAGCUCAAUCGUCCAAAAACAACAGCUUGGUCACAAAUCAUGUACCAACUUUUCACAAUGGCAUGUCAUGAAGGAAGACAGAAAGAAAAAACAUGCAACACACAAACACAAUACCAUUUAGUGCAAGGGAUGCAUCAGAUUAUCAUGCCAACAUAAACAUGGCAAUGCCACAAAAAUUGAAGUAUCGACCCACAAAAAACCACAGAAUAAGAAGCAAAUAGCACACUAACAGGAAAAGUAUGGAACAUGUCACACGAUACACCAUUAACCUAGCAACCCCAUACCAACCAAUCAACUUUUGCAGCACCACAUCGCUAAGUCGUCUUACAUAUUUUGCUAGUUCAAACCAGGCAGCAAUCAUCCAUUCCAGUUACAUCACAUAUUCACAUAAAACGCAAACGCAGCAUGACGACAAUGCAACAAUCACAAUUUGCAAACAGGCAUAACACACCAUAGUAUUUCAGGCAUAACACAUAGUAUUUCAUCAUCAUCAUUAAGAAAAUAGCGGAAGACAUCUAUGAUGCACGACUUAUUUUGCUACAAUAUGCCACUCCAAAACAAGCACACUCACCUAGUAAAAGCAAGUAACAACAGAAGGGUGUGAAAUUACCUUAGAAAUAAGGUGGCACAUUGGGGUACAUAGGAGGAGCCCUGCCACCUGGUCCUGGUGACAUCCCUUGAGGGUCCUGACCCCGGAACCCAGAC